ACUCAAAGGAAUUGACGGGGACCCACACAAGCGGUGGAGCAUCUGGUUUAAUUCGAUAGUAAGCGAGGAACCUUACCAAGGCUUGACAUCCCGGGAAGGCCAUCGAAAGGUGGCUGUGCCGUAAGGAACCCGGUGACAGGUGCUGCAUGGUUGUCGUCAGCUCGUGCCUUGAGGUGUUCGGUUAAGUCCGUGAACGAGCGCAACCCUUGUCCUAAGUUGCAUUUUUCUUAGGAGACUGCCGGCUCUAAGUCGGAGGAAGGUAAGGAUGACGUCAAAUCAGCAUGGCCCUUAUGCCUUGGGCUACACAGGUGCUACAAUGGCCGGUACAGCGGGCAGCGAGGAGGUAACUCUGAGCUAAUCCUAAAAGCCGGUCUAAGUUCGGAUUGAGGGCUGCAACUCGCCCUCAUGAAGCUGGAAUCGCUAGUAAACGCGUAUCAGCAAUGGCGCGUUGAAUAUGUUCCUGGGUCUUGUACACACCGCCCGU
This 484-nucleotide ribosomal RNA is filed under the name uncultured bacterium. RNAcentral describes it as "partial 16S ribosomal RNA". It matches the Rfam family "Bacterial small subunit ribosomal RNA", at positions 899 to 1397 of the family's 1533-position model. The record is from RNAcentral.